Molecule: ribosomal RNA, 899 nt
Filed under: Botryotrichum murorum
Lineage: Eukaryota; Fungi; Ascomycota; Sordariomycetes; Sordariales; Chaetomiaceae
Description: LSU rRNA
Rfam family: Eukaryotic large subunit ribosomal RNA
Source: RNAcentral
UUAAGCAUAUCAAUAAGCGGAGGAAAAGAAACCAACAGGGAUUGCCCCAGUAACGGCGAGUGAAGCGGCAACAGCUCAAAUUUGAAAUCUGGCUUCGGCCCGAGUUGUAAUUUGCAGAGGAAGCUUUAGGCGCGGCACCAUCUGAGUCCCCUGGAACGGGGCGCCACAGAGGGUGAGAGCCCCGUAUAGAUGGACGCCUAGCCUGUGUAAAGCUCCUUCGACGAGUCGAGUAGUUUGGGAAUGCUGCUCUAAAUGGGAGGUAAAUUUCUUCUAAAGCUAAAUACCGGCCAGAGACCGAUAGCGCACAAGUAGAGUGAUCGAAAGAUGAAAAGCACUUUGAAAAGAGGGUUAAAUAGCACGUGAAAUUGUUGAAAGGGAAGCGCUUGUGACCAGACUUGCGCCGGGCGGAUCAUCCGGUGUUCUCACCGGUGCACUCCGCCCGGCUCAGGCCAGCAUCGGUUCUCGUGGGGGGACAAAGGUCCCGGGAACGUAGCUCCUCCGGGAGUGUUAUAGCCCGGGGCGUAAUGCCCUCGCGGGGACCGAGGACCGCGCUUCGGCAAGGAUGCUGGCGUAAUGGUCAUCAGCGACCCGUCUUGAAACACGGACCAAGGAGUCAAGGUUUUGCGCGAGUGUUUGGGUGUAAAACCCGCACGCGUAAUGAAAGUGAACGUAGGUGAGAGCUUCGGCGCAUCAUCGACCGAUCCUGAUGUUUUCGGAUGGAUUUGAGUAGGAGCGUUAAGCCUUGGACCCGAAAGAUGGUGAACUAUGCUUGGAUAGGGUGAAGCCAGAGGAAACUCUGGUGGAGGCUCGCAGCGGUUCUGACGUGCAAAUCGAUCGUCAAAUCUGAGCAUGGGGGCGAAAGACUAAUCGAACCAUCUAGUAGCUGGUUACCGCCGAAG